GAUGAACGCUGGCGGCGUGCCUAAUACAUGCAAGUCGAGCGAACGGAAGAGAAGCUUGCUUCUCUGAUGUUAGCGGCGGACGGGUGAGUAACACGUGGAUAACCUACCUAUAAGACUGGGAUAACUGCGGGAAACCGUAGCUAAUACCGGAUAAUAUUUUGAACCGCAUGGUUCAAAAGUGAAAGACGGUCUUGCUGUCACUUAUAGAUGGAUCCGAGAUGCAUUAGCUAGUUGGUAAGGUAACGGCUUACCAAGGCAACGAUGCAUAGCCGACCUGAGAGGGUGAUCGGCCACACUGGAACUGAGACACGGUCCAGACUCCUACGGGAGGCAGCAGUAGGGAAUCUUCCGCAAUGGGCGAAAGCCUGACGGAGCAACGCCGCGUGAGUGAUGAAGGUCUUCGGAUCGUAAAACUCUGUUAUUAGGGAAGAACAUAUGUGUAAGUAACUGUGCACAUCUUGACGGUACCUAAUCAGAAAGCCACGGCUAACUACGUG
This 497-nucleotide ribosomal RNA is filed under the name uncultured bacterium. Its description in RNAcentral is "partial 16S ribosomal RNA". It matches the Rfam family "Bacterial small subunit ribosomal RNA", at positions 28 to 507 of the family's 1533-position model. The record is from RNAcentral.